Molecule: small RNA, 30 nt
Filed under: Arabidopsis thaliana (thale cress)
Lineage: Eukaryota; Viridiplantae; Streptophyta; Magnoliopsida; Brassicales; Brassicaceae
Description: ATSL256360
Source: RNAcentral
UGUCUCUCUCUCUCUCUCUCUCUCUCUCUC